RNAcentral lists this ribosomal RNA (501 nucleotides) under uncultured Geobacter sp. RNAcentral's name for it is "bacterial SSU rRNA". It matches the Rfam family "Bacterial small subunit ribosomal RNA", at positions 29 to 507 of the family's 1533-position model. The record is from RNAcentral. Lineage: Bacteria; Pseudomonadati; Thermodesulfobacteriota; Desulfuromonadia; Geobacterales; Geobacteraceae.
AACGAACGCUGGCGGCGUGCUUAACACAUGCAAGUCGAACGCGAAAGGGGCUUCGGCCCUGAGUAAAGUGGCGCACGGGUGAGUAACGCGUGGAUAAUCUGCCCUGUGAUCUGGGAUAACACUUCGAAAGGGGUGCUAAUACCGGAUAAGACCACGGAGUCUUAGGACUCUGCGGUAAAAGGUGGGGACCUUCGGGCCUACCGUCAUCGGAUGAGUCCGCGUACCAUUAGCUAGUUGGUAGGGUAAGAGCCUACCAAGGCGACGAUGGUUAGCUGGUCUGAGAGGAUGAUCAGCCACACUGGAACUGAGACACGGUCCAGACUCCUACGGGAGGCAGCAGUGGGGAAUUUUGCGCAAUGGGGGAAACCCUGACGCAGCAACGCCGCGUGAGUGAUGAAGGCCUUCGGGUCGUAAAGCUCUGUCAGAGGGGAAGAAGUGUGCGGGUGCUAAUAUCAUCUGCGCUUGACGGUACCCUCAAAGGAAGCACCGGCUAACUCCGUG